UACGUAGGGGGCAAGCGUUGUCCGGAUUUAUUGGGCGUAAAGAGCGUGUGAGCGGCCAGAUAGGUCCGUUGUGAAAACUGGAGGCUUAACCUCCAGCUGUCGAUGGAAACCAUCUGGCUAGAGUCCGGAAGAGGAGAGUGGAAUUCUUGGUGUAGCGGUGAAAUGCGCAGAUAUCAGGAAGAACACCCGUGGCGAAGGCGGCUCUCUGGGACGGUACUGACGCUGAGACGCGAAAGCGUGGGGAGCGAACAGG
Molecule: ribosomal RNA, 253 nt
Filed under: uncultured bacterium
Lineage: Bacteria
Description: partial 16S ribosomal RNA
Rfam family: Bacterial small subunit ribosomal RNA
Source: RNAcentral